UACAGAGGGUGCAAGCGUUAAUCGGAAUUACUGGGCGUAAAGCGUGCGCAGGCGGUUGUGCAAGACAGAUGUGAAAUCCCCGGGCUCAACCUGGGAACUGCAUUUGUGACUGCACAGCUUGAGUGCGGCAGAGGGGGAUGGAAUUCCGCGUGUAGCAGUGAAAUGCGUAGAUAUGCGGAGGAACACCGAUGGCGAAGGCAAUCCCCUGGGCCUGCACUGACGCUCAUGCACGAAAGCGUGGGGAGCAAAACGG
Molecule: ribosomal RNA, 253 nt
Filed under: uncultured bacterium
Lineage: Bacteria
Description: partial 16S ribosomal RNA
Rfam family: Bacterial small subunit ribosomal RNA
Source: RNAcentral